Molecule: transfer RNA, 88 nt
Filed under: Campylobacterota bacterium
Lineage: Bacteria; Pseudomonadati; Campylobacterota
Description: Epsilonproteobacteria bacterium (mullusc metagenome) tRNA-Ser
Rfam family: tRNA
About the family: Transfer RNA (tRNA) molecules are approximately 80 nucleotides in length. Their secondary structure includes four short double-helical elements and three loops (D, anti-codon, and T loops).
Source: RNAcentral
GGACAGUUGGCCGAGUGGUCGAAGGCGCUCGCCUGGAACGCGAGUAUGGUGCAAGCCAUCGAGGGUUCGAAUCCCUCAUUGUCCACCA